GCUGAGCCUUAAACAUUGGUAGGCCCACCUUACAACCCUACCCGCCAGAGAACUACUAGUGAAAAACUUAAAACUCAAAGGACUUGGCGGUGUCCCACCUCGACCUAGAGGAGCCUGUCCUAUAAUCGAUACUCCCCGUUCAACCCAACCUGAACUAGCACAUUCAGCCUAUAUACCGCCGUCGACAGUCUACCCCAUGAGGGUUCAAUAGUAGACACAACAGUUGUUUAUCACUAAAACGUCAGGUCAAGGUGUAGCAAAUGUUUAGGAAAGUGAUUGGCUACAUUUUUUAAAAUAAAACAAACGAAAUGCAACAUGAAAUCAUGCACGAAGGUGAAUUUAGCAGUAAGAUAAAUAAGAGUGUUUAUCUUAACACCGCUCUGGGACGCGC
Molecule: ribosomal RNA, 391 nt
Filed under: Acanthodactylus scutellatus (Nidua fringe-fingered lizard)
Lineage: Eukaryota; Metazoa; Chordata; Lepidosauria; Squamata; Lacertidae
Description: partial 12S ribosomal RNA
Rfam family: Bacterial small subunit ribosomal RNA
Source: RNAcentral